GUAGGGGUGCCUGAUGAGAAAGGGGUGCUGGUUCUUCCUUACAUCAUAUCCCCUGCCUGUCCCAGCCGGGCUCUGACUCAGCCAGCAGACUGGAGUCCUCUUCUGCAUGAUAAGGAAACUGAGGCUUAGAGAAGUUAUGAAACUGCCCAAGGUUUCACAGCUGAAAUGUAUAAGGUCCUGGACUUGCAAAUUUGGCACAAAAUUCUUCUAAUAAGGAGGCCAUAAAAUAACCAAAUGAUUUUUUAUGUGCCUAUAGAACCAAAAGAACUAUUUCAGAAUGUCAGCUGAAAUGCAUGAUAUUUCAGAUAGCUUAGAAACCUUGGCAUAGUGCCUUCUCGGAAAGCCUGGAUUACAUCUAAAACCAUGUGGCAGAGGGAGAAACCAGAGACAGGCCAUCCUGAGAAGACUCAGGCUGGGAUGAAAGCUCUGCUCUCCAGGGACAAAGUGGCAGGGGACCAGUCAUGCUCUGAGAUACUCCACUGGGCUGUGAACAUUAUUCUGAGCAAUUUCACUUGCUUUCACACCACCUGCCCCCAAACACUUCUAUUAUAGUGGCAAAUAAAUCUGAUACCCAA
Molecule: long non-coding RNA, 575 nt
Organism: Cercocebus atys (sooty mangabey)
Lineage: Eukaryota; Metazoa; Chordata; Mammalia; Primates; Cercopithecidae
Exons: 3
Source: RefSeq, a predicted model, not a curated record